RNAcentral lists this ribosomal RNA (406 nucleotides) under uncultured bacterium. RNAcentral describes it as "partial 16S ribosomal RNA". It matches the Rfam family "Bacterial small subunit ribosomal RNA", at positions 30 to 526 of the family's 1533-position model. The record is from RNAcentral.
AUUGAACGCUGGCGGCAGGCUUAACACAUGCAAGUCGAGCGAGCGGCGGACGGGUGAGUAAUGUCUGGGAAACUGCCUGCUAGAGGGGGAUAACUACUGGAAACGGUAGCUAAUACCGCAUACUAUCGGAUGUGCCCAGAUUGGAUUAGCUAGUAGGUGGGGUAAAGGCUCACCUAGGCGACGAUCCCUAGCUGGUCUGAGAGGAUGACCAGCCACACUGGAACUGAGACACGGUCCAGACUCCUACGGGAGGCAGCAGUGGGGAAUAUUGCACAAUGGGCGCAAGCCUGAUGCAGCCAGGCCGCGUGUUUGAAGAAGGCCUUCGGGUUGUAAAGCACUUUCAGUGAGGAGGCGUUACCUGCAGAAGAAGCACCGGCUAACUCCGUGCCAGCAGCCGCGGUAAUUC